GGCCGGUCCUGUCCGUGGCCGUCAUGCCGCUUAAUAGGAUAGUCGGGGGCAUCAGUAUUCAAUUGUCAGAGGUGAAAUUCUUGGAUUUAUUGAAGACUAACUACUGCGAAAGCAUUGCCAAGGAUGUUUUCAUUAAUCAGUGAACGAAAGUUAGGGGAUCGAAGACGAUCAGAUACCGUCGUAGUCUUAACCAUAAACUAUGCCGACUAGGGAUCGGGCGAUGUUAUCUUUUUGCCUCGGCACCUUGGCCGGGUCUUCUUGAGGCGCAUGCCCUUUCACUGGGUGUGUCGGGGAAUCAGGACUUUACUUGAAAUAGAGU
RNAcentral lists this ribosomal RNA (319 nucleotides) under uncultured fungus. Its description in RNAcentral is "bacterial SSU rRNA". The stretch from base 1 to 284 matches the Rfam family "Eukaryotic small subunit ribosomal RNA", at positions 839 to 1112 of the family's 1831-position model. The record is from RNAcentral. Lineage: Eukaryota; Fungi.